RNAcentral lists this ribosomal RNA (348 nucleotides) under uncultured bacterium. RNAcentral describes it as "bacterial SSU rRNA". It matches the Rfam family "Bacterial small subunit ribosomal RNA", at positions 1 to 334 of the family's 1533-position model. The record is from RNAcentral.
CUAGCGACUUCAGAGUUUGGAUCCUGGCUCAGGAUGAACGCUGGCGGCGUGCCUAACACAUGCAAGUCGAACGAAGCGACUCAAAGUUUUCGGACAGAGAGUUGACUGAGUGGCGGACGGGUGAGUAACGCGUGGAUAACCUGCCUCAUACAGGGGGAUAACAGUUAGAAAUGACUGCUAAUACCGCAUAAGCGCACAGUACCGCAUGGUACAGUGUGAAAAACUCCGGUGGUAUGAGAUGGAUCCGCGCCUGAUUAGCUAGUUGGCGGGGUAACGGCCCACCAAGGCGACGAUCAGUAGCCGACCUGAGAGGGUGACCGGCCACAUUGGGACUGAGACACGGCCCAA